UAAAAAGUACAGCAGCGUGACAAAAGAAACGCACAAAUGUACGGAUUUUCUUCGUAAACAACUUAAUCAUUUGAUCGUCUGUUUAAUGCCGUUUCAAUGUGUUACAGAUUGCAUUUCUGCCGUUUAUAGUUGAUAGUCUCAAAAAGAAGUCCAAAGC
Molecule: long non-coding RNA, 157 nt
Organism: Sphaeramia orbicularis (orbiculate cardinalfish)
Lineage: Eukaryota; Metazoa; Chordata; Actinopteri; Kurtiformes; Apogonidae
Exons: 4
Source: RefSeq, a predicted model, not a curated record